RNAcentral lists this long non-coding RNA (2827 nucleotides) under Sus scrofa (pig). Its description in RNAcentral is "lncRNA (ENSSSCG00040031563.1)". Lineage: Eukaryota; Metazoa; Chordata; Mammalia; Artiodactyla; Suidae. The record is from RNAcentral.
UCUUUUGCCUUUUCUAGGGCCGAUCCUGCGGCAUAUGGAGGUUCCCAGGCUAGGGGUCUAAUCGGAGCUGUAGCCACCGGCCUACACCAGAGCCACAGCAACGAAGGAUCUGAGCAACUCAUGGCGACCUACACCACAACUCAUGGCAACACCUGAUCCUUAACCCACUGAGCAAGGCCAAGGAUCAAACACGCAACCUCAUGGUUCCUAUCAGAUUCAUUAACCACUUAGCCACAACGGGAACUACAACUAUACCUUUCUUUUGUUCUGUUUAAGGCCAAUGGUCUAAAGAAAGAAAGAAAAAAAGUACUUUUAAGUAGGGAUUGGUAUCAUUACAUUCCUUCCACUGCCCUUUUGUAUUUUCAUUUUUCAAUUAAACUAAGCAUCUAUGCAUAACUGCAGGGGUUUUUAGUUCUUAGAAGGUAAAGACUCAAUGCUACGGAGCAAUAGCAUACUGGCAAUAAAACUUCACAGAUUCCCUGGCCCAAGAUGGCAAUGAAGUUUCCCACACACUAACUUCCUACCCACUGUCCUCAACAGACAUCACCAGCCAACCAUGGAUAGCAUUCAUUUACUCUACAGCCAGAUGUGGCCUCAGAUUUCUUUUCAACCCAGAAGUAUAGGCAGUUAAUACCAACUGACAACAAAUGAGGUGAAAACUUUUUGUAUUCCUUGAUGUCAGCCACGUCUGAUGUUGACAUGCAAAACACCAAACUCCAGGCUGGUUAAGAUACACAGUAGUUAAGCAUGCCUCAGGACUAUAUCUGAACCCCGAACUCCUGCACCUCUGUGCUGUCUCCUCCCGCAUAUCUCCACGUUGAGGAAGAUAGAUCAGGAAAGGCAGUGGCAGAAAUGUGUUAUAAACACACUUAAAAGGGACCUCCUCCUGCAGUCAACACCUCUAACUCACCACACACGAAGGGCACUGCUGCAGGCUUAAUAAGCCAUCACUAAAUGGGAUGGGUGAAUACAUCAACAUUUCUCUUGUGUUCUUCAGUGCCUUCCCCUUUUCUUUUGGCAAGAGUUGUAUGGAACAGCGCUCCUAGUCAUUAUCAAGUCAUAAUAUUUGGGUACCAAAUGAAGUUUAGAAGGCAAUGAAAAGUUCCAUAACCCACUCCUAGAUUCAGAAAUACUGAGCAUCCUUUUAUGAGACAUCUCCUGAUUGCUGAUCCAAACAUUCCACGAGCUAAAUCCCACAGGAUAAGGACGACACACUGGUGCCGAUUUUUGCCACCUUAGACUUGUGACACCUUGAACUGAAUAUUCCCUUCUCUGGGUAACCCUGUUUCAUUUUUUAAAUGGAAAGUUUCCAAGAUCUGACCUCUAACACCCUUUCUCAUGAUGAAACUCAUCAGUUAUUCUAAAAGCAGCACCCAUUUAUUGAGAGCCUACUGUAAGCAGAGUGCGAUACUAGGUGCAAGGCAAAGUCAGCUAAUGAAACAGGAUGCUGCUCCCCAGGUCGUGUGGCUGCAAUGAGUGAGGGGUUUGUCCUGCCACUUGCCAUACUCAUGUUUGCUUUAGAGGUGGUGAAAAUAGCUGUUCAUCUUUCUCCGUCAAGCCAUCAGUCAGAGUUGCUUGGGAAAAAUUCCAAGGCUAUUUCUAACACUUUCUGCAACUCAAUAGCUUCUCUCCUCUGAACGUAAACUAAAAACAACUGCACCUCCGUGCUGUCUCCUCCCAUGUAUCUCCACACUGAGGAAGAUAAAUCAGGAAAGGCAGUGGUAGAAAUGUGUUAUAAACACACUUAAAAGGGACCUUCUCCUGAAGUCAACACCUCCAACUCACCUUCCCUUAAAGAUUCUCCAAUUCCUACACUGGAGAAAGAGAUAAGCUCCUGCCCAAUUAUCCAUGACAAGAAGCUCCUAGAAGGAGGUGUCAAUCUGCAGUCCCCAAGGAAGACAACAAUGUGAAACCACCGUGAAGAAAAGAAUCAUUACACAUCUAAUAGAUAUUUUCUUCUAAAUCGGUCAUAUAUUCUAUUGUGUUUCAUUCAUUCAACAAAUAUUUAUUGAAACCUAUUACAGGCUAAGUACUAUUCUAGGAGCAAGGUCCUUCAGCAGUGAAUAAACCAGACGGACAUCUCUAUCCUUACAGAUUUUACAUUUAUAUAGAAGAAAAAACCCGGAAAGCAGCUUCUGGGGAUAUACAUCUAUGCAUCUGCCCUUCUGUACACUCACAGGUAUUUAUCAAGUAACCAUACAUCUUGCUAGGCUCUAGGUUAAGCUGGGAGAACAACAAGAUCUUCACAUCCAAGCAUUUAGAGAUCAACAAUUCAAUACAGGAUAACUGGCUGCUACAAGCGGGGGAUGGACAAAGCACUACAGACAGAGGCAUGAAGAAUGUUCCAUAUGUUUUCAGGGAGUCCCCAAGUCCCAGCUGAACUGGCCUUUGAAGGAUGCACAGGAGCCUACCAAGUAGACUAUGGGAGGAAAGGCAUCCUGACAGGGAAUCCCAUCAGAGAGAUAGUCAUCAGAGUACAGAGGGGGUUGGAAAUUCCACGAGAAGCCCUGCAGCCUGGAGCGUGGGUGUGGUUUGGGAAAGGAUUCUGGAAAGUCAGGCUGAAGCCCCAGAGGGUUCAAUGCCAAGUCCAGGAGGUUGUCCUUGAACCAAUGGAGAAUCACAGGAUAAAACCAUUUCUGGUUAAUAUCCCAUUCCAAUAAGCUUACACUGUCUGCUCCUUAAGUAGGAUGGAAUGGUCUGACCCUCAAUAUUUUGAUCUUCCUCCAACCUCCAGACAAAUGAGGGAAAUUCUGCUAAUUCAUACCAGGAAAGGAAACGUGGGUGUGACUGGCCCAGACUGGAUGGGGCCCAACACACCCAGAGAGAU